UACAGAGACUGCAAGCGUUAUUCGGAUUCACUGGGCGUAAAGGGUGCGCAGGCGGUCGUGUGUGUCAGAUGUGACAUCCCGGAGCUUACCUCCGGAACUGCGUCUGAAACUACACGACUAGAGCAUUGGAGAGGGAAGUGGAAUUCAUGGUGUAGCAGUGAAAUGCGUAGAUAUCAGGAGGAACACCAGAGGCGAAGGCGACUUCCUGGACAAUUGAUGACGCUGAGGCACGAUAGCAUGGGGAGCAAAAGGG
RNAcentral lists this ribosomal RNA (253 nucleotides) under uncultured bacterium. Its description in RNAcentral is "partial 16S ribosomal RNA". It matches the Rfam family "Bacterial small subunit ribosomal RNA", at positions 524 to 776 of the family's 1533-position model. The record is from RNAcentral.